Molecule: long non-coding RNA, 652 nt
Filed under: Panax ginseng (ginseng)
Lineage: Eukaryota; Viridiplantae; Streptophyta; Magnoliopsida; Apiales; Araliaceae
Description: long non-coding RNA (PGIN_LNC001134)
Source: RNAcentral
UUGUGAUAUCUUGUCUUUCGUUUCAUUUUCUUAUAAUUCUAUUGACACUCUUAAAUAGAAAUUUGAUCUUUGAUACUUUGGCUUUAUUCAGUAAUUUGAAUUCCUUUCUUUCUAUUACAAUUUGUACAGAUUCCGUACUCUUUCAGCGAUACUCUUGUUAAAUUUGAUUUGUUCGUUUUGUCGCUUGUUCGAAUUUCGUUAUUAUUUCACAUAAUUGAUCCUGUGAAAUAAAUAUAUUAGUUUCAUUUUGGAGUUGAUACAUAUGACUCGUAUUUGUACUCUUUGAAUUAGGUUAUCAUGUUUAGUACUAUUUAUUUUGAUAAUUGUAGAGCGGUACAUGUUGCUACCUUCUUUUUGAAACCUUGUGACUAUAAUUUGAUUUGGUUCAACAUGUACAUAUAGAACCCUUAUGUUGGUAUUAUGUCGCAUGUGUUGUGACAAGAUAUUUUUGUUAGAAUAUACCGUAGGGUAUACUUGAGCUAUAACCACCUGUGGGGGUACCACAGGCAUGUCAUCUUGGCACGAGAGACAUGACACUUUCCGUGGCGGUGUGAUUAGUUCACAGCGUCUCUGUUUGGGCUCGGGAGGAAGUGGGCCAUUUGGUGUUUUAUUGUGGGAGGCGUAUGGGUUAACCCUAGUUUUUUGUUCUGCG